CCCAAGGAAUAAGCNCCGGCUAACUCCGUGCCAGCAGCCGCGGUAAUACGGAGGGUGCAAGCGUUACUNGGAAUCACUGGGCGUAAAGGACGCGUAGGCGGAUUAUCAAGUCUCUUGUGAAAUCUAACGGCUUAACCGUUAAACUGCUUGGGAAACUGAUAAUCUAGAGUAAGGGAGAGGCAGAUGGAAUUCUUGGUGUAGGGGUAAAAUCCGUAGAGAUCAAGAAGAAUACNCAUUGCGAAAGCGAUCUGCUGGAACUUAACUGACGCUAAUGCGUGAAAGCGUGGGGAGCAAACAGGAUUAGAUACCCUGGUAGUCCACGCCCUAAACGAUGUAUACUAGUUGUUGCUUCGCUAGUCGAGGCAGUAAUGCACCUAACGGAUUAAGUAUACCGCCUGGGGAGUACGGUCGCAAGAUUAGAACUCAAAGGAAUAGACGGGGACCCGCACAAGCGGUGGAGCAUGUGGUUUAAUUCGAAGAUACGCGAAGAACCUUACCCGGACUUGAUAUCUAACAAAUCAUCCAGAGAUGGAAGAGUGUCUGCUUGCAGAAAUGUUAAGACAGGUGCUGCACGGCUGUCGUCAGCUCGUGUCGUGAGAUGUUGGGUUAAGUCCCGCAACGAGCGCAACCCACGUCAUUAGUUGCUAACGGUUCGGCCGAGCACUCUAAUGAGACUGCCUUCGCAAGGAGGAGGAAGGUGUGGACGACGUCAAGUCAUCAUGGCCCUUAUGUCCGGGGCGACACACGUGCUACAAUGGCGUAUACAAUGAGACGCAAUAUCGCGAGAUGGAGCAAAUCUAUAAAAUACGUCCCAGUUCGGAUUGGAGUCUGCAACUCGACUCCAUGAAGCCGGAAUCGCUAGUAAUCGUAGAUCAGCCAUGCUACGGUGAAUACGUUCCCGGGUCUUGUACUCACCGCCCGUCACACCAUGGGAGUUGAUUUCACUCGAAGCCCAAAU
Molecule: ribosomal RNA, 958 nt
Filed under: uncultured bacterium
Lineage: Bacteria
Description: bacterial SSU rRNA
Rfam family: Bacterial small subunit ribosomal RNA
Source: RNAcentral